This 425-nucleotide ribosomal RNA is filed under the name uncultured bacterium. Its description in RNAcentral is "partial 16S ribosomal RNA". It matches the Rfam family "Bacterial small subunit ribosomal RNA", at positions 354 to 796 of the family's 1533-position model. The record is from RNAcentral.
GUGGGGAAUAUUGGACAAUGGGGGCAACCCUGAUCCAGCAAUGCCGCGUGUGUGAAGAAGGUCUUCGGAUUGUAAAGCACUUUCGACGGGGACGAUGAUGACGGUACCCGUAGAAGAAGCCCCGGCUAACUUCGUGCCAGCAGCCGCGGUAAUACGAAGGGGGCUAGCGUUGCUCGGAAUGACUGGGCGUAAAGGGCGUGUAGGCGGUUUACACAGUCAGAUGUGAAAUCCCCGGGCUUAACCUGGGAGCUGCAUUUGAUACGUGUAGACUAGAGUGUGAGAGAGGGUUGUGGAAUUCCCAGUGUAGAGGUGAAAUUCGUAGAUAUUGGGAAGAACACCGGUGGCGAAGGCGGCAACCUGGCUCAUUACUGACGCUGAGGCGCGAAAGCGUGGGGAGCAAACAGGAUUAGAUACCCCGGUAGUCC